CGAGCCGCAACCCCUACUCUUUAGUUUGUCCAUCAUUGAGUUGGGCACUCUAAAGAGACUGCCGGUGUCAAACCGGAGGAAGGUGGGGAUGACGUCAAGUCCUCAUGGCCUUUAUGACCAGGGCUACACACGUACUACAAUGGCCGGUACAAAGGGCAGCGACACAGCGAUGUGAAGCGAAUCCCGAAAAGCCGGUCUCAGUCCGGAUUGGAGUCUGCAACUCGACUCCAUGAAGUUGGAAUCGCUAGUAAUCGCGGAUCAGCACGCCGCGGUGAAUACGUUCCCGGGCCUU
Molecule: ribosomal RNA, 292 nt
Filed under: uncultured Desulfocapsa sp.
Lineage: Bacteria; Pseudomonadati; Thermodesulfobacteriota; Desulfobulbia; Desulfobulbales; Desulfocapsaceae
Description: partial 16S ribosomal RNA
Rfam family: Bacterial small subunit ribosomal RNA
Source: RNAcentral